This is a long non-coding RNA of Vidua chalybeata, 2754 nucleotides long. RefSeq lists it as uncharacterized. Lineage: Eukaryota; Metazoa; Chordata; Aves; Passeriformes; Viduidae. The record is from RefSeq and is a predicted model, not a curated record. The transcript is spliced from 4 exons.
GUCAGUCCACCUUGGCUUAAUCUAUUCCCUUCUCCAGGCAUUUUCUUGGCAGGCACUUCACUCAAAGAACAUGUUUUAACAGCAGGAAAACCACCUCAAAAUCCCAAACCAAACAAGUCAACACCUCUGAAGAACCUGAAUAAACCACAUCGUUCUUAUCAAAAGUCAGAUGCCAAGAUAGCAAAGCUGGCAGGCUGAGGUGUUGUGGCAUUCCUUGAAGGGAGUCUCCAGUCAUGAACACUGUGUGUACAGAGCUCUUCUGCUUGCAAGUGUCUCUCUCUCUCUCUAACAAUCAGAUCCAGAGAUCCAGCACCCCACUCUGGAGAGCCUUUGCUACCCCUCUGGCAGCCUUGUGCCCUGGAGUACUCCUGUGUGGCAGGUGAUGACAGCUGACAGGCAGAAGCAGCUGGUGCCACCAGGCUCUGCUGUUCAGAACAGGGGGUGCAGAAGCUUUCAGAAGCCAUGAGUUGCUCUAACAAAGGAGGGACCACACAGACUCAAGCCACUCACAAAAGGACCCAGGCCGAUUAUUUGACUAUUACUUACAAGGAAGCUCGGCCAGUAACGUAGGCAAUAAAUACUGGAGAAACCUGUUCUGUGCAUAACCCAGGUUUGUCUUUUCACAAGUCCUGCUCUCUAAUUAGCUACUCAUUCCUCGAGGGCACUGCUGAUGGAUGGAGUGUAUCAAUUUGAUUUAUUUUUAAAAGUCAAGAAACUUGCUAAAUAAUAAGCACUCUGUAGUGUUAGGAACAGUCACUAGUGCUCCUUCCUAGUCCCACCAGAGAAGAGUAUUCCUGUGCUUUCUACUUUGCAGAAAAGACUCAGUGGCAGAGAGUCUGUAACUCACAAGGGCUGCAGUGCCCGAUGAGAACUCAGAAGUGCCCAGCUUUUGAUCCUGCAUUCAACCCCUGUUCCAUUUGCACAGAAGGACUCAACUGCUCUGCAAGCAGAAGUGAAACCCUGCAGCACUGCCUGGCCGUGCACAGCUGUGACCCCCCCAGCUCUACUUCACCCAGGCCCUGACCUCUCCAAGGAGUUCCUCCUGUGCUCUGGGACAGGAGCUCUCGGAGUGGCACCUUCCCACACAUCUGCUGGACACUCAGCCAAGCACAGGGUGCUGAGCCAGGCACGACCAGCAGUGUAAUAGCACAGAAAUAGAGCUGUUCUACAGCCCAGGGAGCCAAGUAGAAACUUCUGCUCUCUCCUCCUUAUCUUUUGUUCUAGCCCUCAUUGCUGUUUCUCAUUCCUGUCUCCUACUUCCCUCCUUCUGCUGGUGUGUUCCCCUCCUCUCCAAGGCCUAUCUGCCCCUCCAUCGCCUGCUCUGCUCCAGUGUACAGGGCUUCAGAGUCAGCUGUCCCAACCCUGAAACUGGUUGCUCCUACUCACCAGCUGCCUCCUCCCCAGAAAGGAAGAAAUUCCAGUAUUUCAACAUUUGCUCUCAUCCCAAUUCGGGCAGAAAAACUGAAAUUAGAGACUAUGUAGAAUGGAAGUUCACAAGUUUAAAAAGAAACAAAAAAAAAAAAAAAAAAGAAACCUAUUUGUGAACACCAGUGCAUUCUGUGUCAUUUGAAAUGGAAUAUUUUACAUUACUGAAACCACAGUUAGUUCAUUUUGGUUUGGUGACCUGACCUGAGAAAUUUUGUUCUGAGUCAGUACAAUGUUAAGCUGCUUUUCUUCCCAUAGUGUUGCACUGCCCAGUCACUGCAGCUUGGCAGCCUGGUCCCCACUUCUGGAUGAGACUCCCGUGCUGGAAGGCAGUUCCCAAAGCACACACUGAGGUCUCCUGUGGCACAGCAUGGCCCCUGGGAGACCUGUGCUGCCAUGGGAAGGCCAGGGCCCUUAGAGUCCAGCAGAAUAGGUACCUCAGUCAACAGCUCUCUGAGCAGUCAAGGAUGACCUGGAAUCCAGUGCAAUGUUUUGAACCAAUCCCAAGUGAAGCCUUUUAGAUCAGUUAGAGAAAAGCAAAACAAAGAGGUAUUCCCAUUCAGGCAGCACAGGCAGGUCAAUGUAACACUUCUGGUAAAAGCUAGUUAAUUAAUUUUGCGGGAGAUCAGAAAUCUAGCAUUGUGCUUUUCUAGGAGAAAAACAAUGUUUCCAUUUUAAAGACACUACGCUGUUCCCUGAAAAAGUCACUCCAAAGAAUAUUCAGAUCAGUCUCCCACUGACCACAGCAGCAUUCCUACAAACUGGCUUAAAAGUAAUACCAUGAACAAAUCUCACUCCUGCAGAAACUUCCUCAAGCAGGGAACUUAAAUUAUAGCAAUAUCAGCACCCUUCUGCCUCCUGCACAGCUCCUGGCAUGAGCUAAGGACUGUAGGAUUUAGUUCAUCAGCCGAGCUUAACGACUAGUUUAGAGUCUGACAAGUAUUGAACCAGGGGUUUCCAACAGAUGUCUGACCAGUCAAUACCUUGCUGCUUCAAGCCAAGGCACAGGCACAGCUUUUAUGAGCAGUUGGUAUAAACAACUGCUGGUGGAGCUGCUGAAGGCUCUGAGUUCUGCCCCAAACGUUAGGGUGCCACCAACUCAUGCUCAGCAAAUAGUUCUUAAAACAAGUGGAGAGGACUCAGAAGGAAGAUUAGUAUGCAUUCACAAAAAGCUAUUUUAGUAGUUUUCCUGUAGACUCUAUAAUGUUCUUCCCCUAGGUCUGUAUAUUUGAGAGAAGGCAGAGUGUGUGUCUAUAUGGAUGGAUUUGAUUUGCUCUUGAAAAAAAAAAGAAAAGGAGAGACACUUAGCCUGUACUUUCAGUGCUGGAA